UACAGAGGGUGCGAGCGUUGUCCGGAAUCACUGGGCGUAAAGGGCGCGUAGGUGGCGCGAGUAGUCAACGGUGAAAGCCCGGGGCUCAACCCCGGGUCGGCCGUCGAUACUCUCGUGCUUGAGCACUGUAGAGGCAGGUGGAAUUCCGGGUGUAGCGGUGGAAUGCGUUGAGAUCGGAAGGAACGCCCGUGGCGAAAGCGAGGUCCUGGACGUCUACUGACGCUGAGACGCGAAAGCUAGGGUAGCGAACGGG
Molecule: ribosomal RNA, 253 nt
Filed under: uncultured bacterium
Lineage: Bacteria
Description: partial 16S ribosomal RNA
Rfam family: Bacterial small subunit ribosomal RNA
Source: RNAcentral